This 1326-nucleotide ribosomal RNA is filed under the name metagenome. Its description in RNAcentral is "bacterial SSU rRNA". It matches the Rfam family "Bacterial small subunit ribosomal RNA", at positions 11 to 1386 of the family's 1533-position model. The record is from RNAcentral.
GUUUGAUCCUGGCUCAGGAUGAACGCUGGCGGCGUGCUUAACACAUGCAAGUCGAACGAUCCUUCGGGAUAGUGGCGGACGGGUGAGUAACGCGUGGGAAUCUGCCCUCAGGAGGGGGAUAACGGCUGGAAACGGCCGCUAAUACCCCAUAUGCCGAGAGGUGAAAUGAAUUUCGCCUGAGGAUGAGCCCGCGUCUGAUUAGCUAGUUGGUGGGGUAAUGGCCUACCAAGGCAACGAUCAGUAGCUGGUCUGAGAGGAUGAUCAGCCACACUGGGACUGAGACACGGCCCAGACUCCUACGGGAGGCAGCAGUGGGGAAUUUUCCGCAAUGGGCGAAAGCCUGACGGAGCAACGCCGCGUGAGGGAUGAAGGCCUCUGGGCUGUAAACCUCUUUUCUCAAGGAAGAAGACCUGACGGUACUUGAGGAAUAAGCCACGGCUAAUUCCGUGCCAGCAGCCGCGGUAAUACGGGAGUGGCAAGCGUUAUCCGGAAUUAUUGGGCGUAAAGCGUCCGCAGGCGGCCUUGUAAGUCUGUUGUUAAAGCGUGGAGCUCAACUCCAUUUAAGCAAUGGAAACUACAAGGCUGGAGUGUGGUAGGGGCAGAGGGAAUUCCCGGUGUAGCGGUGAAAUGCGUAGAUAUCGGGAAGAACACCAGUGGCGAAGGCGCUCUGCUGGGCCAUAACUGACGCUCAUGGACGAAAGCCAGGGGAGCGAAAGGGAUUAGAUACCCCUGUAGUCCUGCCGUAAACGAUGAACACUAGGUGUCGGGGGAAUCGACCCCCUCGGUGUCUUAGCCAACGCGUUAAGUGUUCCGCCUGGGGAGUACGCACGCAAGUGUGAAACUCGAAGGAAUUGACGGGGGCCCGCACAAGCGGUGGAGUAUGUGGUUUAAUUCGAUGCAACGCGAAGAACCUUACCAGGGUUUGACAUCCUGCGAACCCCUGAGAAAUCGGGGGGUGCCUUCGGGAGCGCAGAGACAGGUGGUGCAUGGCUGUCGUCAGCUCGUGUCGUGAGAUGUUGGGUUAAGUCCCGCAACGAGCGCAACCCACGUCUUUAGUUGCCAGCAUUCAGUUGUGCACUCUAGAGAGACCGCCGGUGAUAAACCGGAGGAAGGUGUGGAUGACGUCAAGUCAUCAUGCCCCUUACAUCCUGGGCUACACACGUACUACAAUGCUACGGACAAAGGGCAGCAAGCUCGCGAGAGUUAGCAAAUCCCAUAAACCGUGGCUCAGUUCAGAUCGUAGGCUGCAACUCGCCUACGUGAAGGAGGAAUCGCUAGUAAUCGCAGGUCAGCAUACUGCGGUGAAUACGUUCCCGGGCCUUGUAC